AGAGCGAACGCUGGCGGCAGGCCUAACACAUGCAAGUCGAGCGCGUGUAGCAACACACGAGCGGCAGACGGGAGAGUAACACGUGGGAACGCGCCCUUCGGUUCGGAAUAACUCAGGGAAACUUGAGCUAAUACCGGAUACGCCCUUACGGGGGAAAGAUUUAUUGCCGAAGGAACGGCCCGCGUCCGAUUAGCUAGUUGGUGAGGUAACGGCUCACCAAGGCGACGAUCGGUAGCUGGUCUGAGAGGAUGACCAGCCUCACUGGGACUGAGACACGGCCCAGACUCCUACGGGAGGCAGCAGUGGGGAAUAUUGGACAAUGGGCGCAAGCCUGAUCCAGCCAUGCCGCGUGGAUGAUGAAGGCCUUAGGGUUGUAAAGUCCUUUUAACGGGGAAGAUAAUGACGGUACCCGUAGAAUAAGCCCCGGCUAACUUCGUGCCAGGAGCCGC
This 449-nucleotide ribosomal RNA is filed under the name uncultured bacterium. RNAcentral describes it as "SSU rRNA". It matches the Rfam family "Bacterial small subunit ribosomal RNA", at positions 26 to 518 of the family's 1533-position model. The record is from RNAcentral.